UAGUGGCGAACGGGUGAGUAACACGUGGGCAAUCUGCCCUUCACUCUGGGACAAGCCCUGGAAACGGGGUCUAAUACCGGAUAACACUGCGGAUCGCAUGGUCUGCGGUUAAAAGCUCCGGCGGUGAAGGAUGAGCCCGCGGCCUAUCAGCUUGUUGGUGAGGUAGUGGCUCACCAAGGCGACGACGGGUAGCCGGCCUGAGAGGGCGACCGGCCACACUGGGACUGAGACACGGCCCAGACUCCUACGGGAGGCAGCAGUGGGGAAUAUUGCACAAUGGGCGAAAGCCUGAUGCAGCGACGCCGCGUGAGGGAUGACGGCCUUCGGGUUGUAAACCUCUUUCAGCAGGGAAGAAGCGAAAGUGACGGUACCUGCAGAAGAAGCGCCGGCUAACUACGUGCCAGCAGCCGCGGUAAUACGUAGGGCGCAAGCGUUGUCCGGAAUUAUUGGGCGUAAAGAGCUCGUAGGCGGCUUGUCACGUCGAUUGUGAAAGCCCGAGGCUUAACCUCGGGUCUGCAGUCGAUACGGGCUAGCUAGAGUGUGGUAGGGGGAGAUCGGGAAUUCCU
Molecule: ribosomal RNA, 566 nt
Filed under: Streptomyces sp. 410B10
Lineage: Bacteria; Bacillati; Actinomycetota; Actinomycetes; Kitasatosporales; Streptomycetaceae
Description: bacterial SSU rRNA
Rfam family: Bacterial small subunit ribosomal RNA
Source: RNAcentral